Long non-coding RNA from Neogale vison (American mink), 854 nucleotides. RefSeq lists it as uncharacterized. NCBI's taxonomy places the organism in Eukaryota, Metazoa, Chordata, Mammalia, Carnivora, Mustelidae. The transcript has 4 exons. The record is from RefSeq and is a predicted model, not a curated record.
UCAAUUCAGUUCCACGCAGCUCCUCAAGUACUAAUUUAAUAAGCGUUUGUUGCCUACUAUGUAAUAGGCGCUGUGCUAAAUGUUAGAAAAACAGAGAUGAAAAAUAGAUGAACUCUCCUCAAGGAUCUUGCGAGGGAGAAGGAAGCUCAUAGGCGCUGCAUUAAAUACAUGCGGAACAUGACAUUCCAAGACAGAAGGGUAAACAGAAGUCUCGGAGCAGGAGAGGACUGCGAGCAGCUGAGGCUGGGGAGCGCUGGGAAGCCUUCGUUGGCACAGGACCUCUUGAGCUGCACCUUGAGAAAUGCAGAGGUUACCUGGACUCACUAUCCUAAGUAUCUAUAACUAGAUUAAAACACUUCUGCAUCACUCUGAAAAAGAGCUCUCUUCUGGAAAACAAUGAUGUUUUAAUGAGCAGCAGUAUGUCAAGAUCAGGACAACGAGGUGAUCUUUCAUUUCUUGGUUCAAUUCUGCCCAAGCAAACUGCAUGGAAUGGGAGGCCAGGCUGUCCUACAGACUCUUGGAGCUGGUAUACCAUCAUACGUUUAUCUUAGAGGGAUCUGAAGGGAGUGACAGACCUAGGCAAGAAAGCAGAGUCAACAUCUUGUGACGCCACUAAAAGAUGAAGCCAAAUGAACCCUCAUUUAUUUUCUGACUUUUCUUUUCCCAAAGAUUGCUUGGCCUAAAAAUUAUAAAUUACAUUAAUAUUCUUGAACCAAUACUGACCGGUAUGUGGGACUUGCAUUUAUUUUCUUAUGACCUGAAGAAGCUGAACACUCUGUGUAUUAAGUACAAAGUACUGCAAAAUAAGGGAGACAUACCAAACAAUAUAUGGCUAAUGAAGAUUAUCCAUUGCA